GUUGUAUGGUUAAGUGACUAAGCGUACAUGGUGGAUGCCUUGGCAGUCAGAGGCGAUGAAGGACGUACUAACCUGCGAUAAGCCGUGAGCAGUCGGUAAGAGACAUUACGACUCACGGAUUUCCGAAUGGGGAAACCCACUUAGCAUAAGCUAGGUAUCGCUACGUGAAUACAUAGCGUAGCGAGGCGAACCGGGAGAACUGAAACAUCUAAGUACCCCGAGGAAAAGAAAUCAACCGAGAUUCCCUCAGUAGCGGCGAGCGAACGGGGAUUAGCCCUUAAGCAUCUUGGAAGUUAGUGGAACGGUCCUGGAAAGGCCGGCGAUACAGGGUGAUAGCCCCGUACACGAAAACAACCUUGAUGUGAAAUCGAGUAGGGCGGGACACGUGACAUCCUGUCUGAAUAUGGGGGGACCAUCCUCCAAGGCUAAAUACUCCUGACUGACCGAUAGUGAACCAGUACCGUGAGGGAAAGGCGAAAAGAACCCCUGUGAGGGGAGUGAAAUAGAACCUGAAACCGUGUACGUACAAGCAGUGGGAGCCCUUCGGGGUGACUGCGUACCUUUUGUAUAAUGGGUCAGCGACUUACAUUUUGUAGCGAGGUUAACCGUAUAGGGGAGCCGUAGGGAAACCGAGUCUUAACUGGGCGUCUAGUUGCAAGGUGUAGACCCGAAACCGGGUGAUCUAGCCAUGGGCAGGUUGAAGGUUGAGUAACAUCAACUGGAGGACCGAACCCACUAACGUUGCAAAGUUAGGGGAUGACCUGUGGCUGGGGGUGAAAGGCCAAUCAAACUCGGAGAUAGCUGGUUCUCCCCGAAAGCUAUUUAGGUAGCGCCUCGGACGAAUACUACUGGGGGUAGAGCACUGUUUGGGCUAGGGGGUCAUCCCGACUUACCAACCCCAUGCAAACUCCGAAUACCAGUAAGUAAUAUCCGGGAGACACACGGCGGGUGCUAACGUCCGUCGUGAAGAGGGAAACAACCCAGACCGCCGGCUAAGGUCCCAAAGUUCUGGUUAAGUGGGAAACGAUGUGGGAAGGCUCAGACAGCUAGGAUGUUGGCUUAGAAGCAGCCAUCAUUUAAAGAAAGCGUAAUAGCUCACUAGUCGAGUCGGCCUGCGCGGAAGAUGUAACGGGGCUCAAACCAGGCACCGAAGCCGCGGAUUCACACUAAGUGUGAGUGGUAGGGGAGCGUUCUGUAAGUCUGCGAAGGUGUGUCGAGAGGCAUGCUGGAGAUAUCAGAAGUGCGAAUGCUGACGUAAGUAACGAUAAAGGGGGUGAAAAGCCUCCUCGCCGGAAGACCAAGGGUUCCUGUCCAACGUUAAUCGGGGCAGGGUGAGUCGACCCCUAAGGCGAGGCCGAAAGGCGUAGUCGAUGGGAAGCAGGUUAAUAUUCCUGCACGACUUGUAAUUGCGAUGGGGGGACGGAGAAGGCUAGGUGGGCCAGGCGACGGUUGUCCUGGUGAAAGUGCGUAGGUGGUGUUUCUAGGCAAAUCCGGAGACACAACACUGAGACACGAGACGAACGCACUACGGUGCGGAAGCCAUUGAUGCCCUGCUUCCAGGAAAAGCCUCUAAGCUUCAGAUUACAAGUCAUCGUACCCCAAACCGACACAGGUGGUCGGGUAGAGAAUACCAAGGCGCUUGAGAGAACUCGGGUGAAGGAACUAGGCAAAAUAGAACCGUAACUUCGGGAGAAGGUUCGCUCUUGACAGUGAAGUCCCU
RNAcentral lists this ribosomal RNA (1720 nucleotides) under Aeromonas hydrophila. Its description in RNAcentral is "partial 23S ribosomal RNA". It matches the Rfam family "Bacterial large subunit ribosomal RNA", at positions 1 to 1770 of the family's 2925-position model. The record is from RNAcentral. Lineage: Bacteria; Pseudomonadati; Pseudomonadota; Gammaproteobacteria; Aeromonadales; Aeromonadaceae.